GACGAACGCUGGCGGCGUGCCUAAUACAUGCAAGUCGAGCGAAGUUUUUCUGGUGCUUGCACCGGAAAAACUUAGCGGCGAACGGGUGAGUAACACGUAAAGAACCUGCCUUAUAGACUGGGACAACUAUUGGAAACGAUAGCUAAUACCGGAUAACAGCAUUAACUGCAUGGUUGAUGUUUGAAAGUUGGUUUUGCUAACACUAUGAGAUGGCUUUGCGGUGCAUUAGCUAGUUGGUGGGGUAAAGGCCUACCAAGGCGACGAUGCAUAGCCGACCUGAGAGGGUGAUCGGCCACACUGGGACUGAGACACGGCCCAGACUCCUACGGGAGGCAGCAGUAGGGAAUCUUCCGCAAAGGGCGAAAGCCUGACGGAGCAACGCCGCGUGAGUGAAGAAGGAUUUCGGUUCGUAAAGCUCUGUUGUUAGGGAAGAAUGAUUGUGUAGUAACUAUACACAGUAGAGACGGUACCUAACCAGAAAGCCACGGCUAACUACGUG
RNAcentral lists this ribosomal RNA (499 nucleotides) under uncultured bacterium. RNAcentral describes it as "partial 16S ribosomal RNA". It matches the Rfam family "Bacterial small subunit ribosomal RNA", at positions 28 to 507 of the family's 1533-position model. The record is from RNAcentral.